AGUGGGGAAUCUUAGACAAUGGGGGAAACCCUGAUCUAGCCAUGCCGCGUGAGCGAUGAAGGCCUUAGGGUUGUAAAGCUCUUUCAGCUGGGAAGAUAAUGACGGUACCAGCAGAAGAAGCCCCGGCUAACUCCGUGCCAGCAGCCGCGGUAAUACGGAGGGGGCUAGCGUUGUUCGGAAUUACUGGGCGUAAAGCGCGCGUAGGCGGACCAUCAAGUUGGGGGUGAAAUCCCGGGGCUCAACCUCGGAACUGCCUCCAAAACUGCUGGUCUUGAGUUCGAGAGAGGUGAGUGGAAUUCCGAGUGUAGAGGUGAAAUUCGUAGAUAUUUGGAGGAACACCAGUGGCGAAGGCGGCUCACUGGCUCGAUACUGACGCUGAGGUACGAAAGUGUGGGGAGCAAACAGGAUUAGAUACCCUGGUAGUCCACACCGUAAACGAUGAAUGCCAGUCGUCGGGCAGCAUACUGUUCGGUGUCACACCUAA
This 484-nucleotide ribosomal RNA is filed under the name uncultured bacterium. RNAcentral's name for it is "bacterial SSU rRNA". It matches the Rfam family "Bacterial small subunit ribosomal RNA", at positions 353 to 855 of the family's 1533-position model. The record is from RNAcentral.